Molecule: ribosomal RNA, 252 nt
Filed under: uncultured bacterium
Lineage: Bacteria
Description: partial 16S ribosomal RNA
Rfam family: Bacterial small subunit ribosomal RNA
Source: RNAcentral
UACGAAGGGGGCGAGCGUUGUUCGGAUUUACUGGGCGUAAAGGGCGCGCAGGCGGCUUUGUUUGUCAGGCGUGAAAGCCCCGGGCUUAACCUGGGAACUGCGUUUGAUACGGCAGGGCUAGAGUUCGGGAGAGGAGAGUGGAAUUCCGCGUGGUAGCAGUGAAAUGCGUAGAUAUGCGGAGGAACACCGAUGGCGAAGGCAAUCCCCUGGGCCUGCACUGACGCUCAUGCACGAAGCGUGGGAGAACAGGAU